Molecule: non-coding RNA, 45 nt
Filed under: Trichobilharzia regenti
Lineage: Eukaryota; Metazoa; Platyhelminthes; Trematoda; Strigeidida; Schistosomatidae
Source: RNAcentral
AUCUAUCUGACGAGUCCCAAGUAGGACGAAGUGCACAUCCUGGAC